CAGCCGCCGCGGGAAAACGUAGGUGGCAAGCGUUGUCCGGAAUUAUUGGGCGUAAAGGGCUCGCAGGCGGUUUCUUAAGUCUGAUGUGAAAGCCCCCGGCUCAACCGGGGAGGGUCAUUGGAAACUGGGAAACUUGAGUGCAGAAGAGGAGAGUGGAAUUCCACGUGUAGCGGUGAAAUGCGUAGAGAUGUGGAGGAACACCAGUGGCGAAGGCGACUCUCUGGUCUGUAACUGACGCUGAGGAGCGAAAGCGUGGGGAGCAAACAGGAUUAGAUACCCCUGUAGUCCCUGUCUCUUAUAC
This 301-nucleotide ribosomal RNA is filed under the name uncultured bacterium. Its description in RNAcentral is "partial 16S ribosomal RNA". It matches the Rfam family "Bacterial small subunit ribosomal RNA", at positions 509 to 807 of the family's 1533-position model. The record is from RNAcentral.